UCAGCUAGCUCACGGGUGGGAGUUUCCCAUAUGUCGACUGCAGCGGCCGGAAUUCACUAGUGAUUCUGGUCAUUAGAGGAAGUAAAAGUCGUACAAGGUUCCGUAGGUGAACCUGCGGAAGGAUCAUUAUAAAUCGUAUCAAGCCAUCCUGUGUAUAUGUUGCUGGCUCACCCCAUAUCAUGUCAAGUAUGAGAUGCGGUGCGGCGAGCCACGGCCCAACAACAACAACGAUUGAAACAAACCAAGAACACAUUACUUGAUACCAACUUUUAACAAUGGAUCUCUUGGCUCUUGCAACGAUGAAGAACGCAGCCAAAUGCGAAACGUAUUGUGACAUGCAAUCUUUGUGAAUCAACGAAUUUUUGAACGCACCUUGCACCUGCUGGCGCACGCUAGCAGGUAUACUUGUUUGAGUAUCAUACCAAAUCUGCAUCCGUCCAGUACGUAUGUGGCAUGUGAGCCCCUUACCAGUUUACUGGCUAGCCGCUUGAAAUGCACAUGGGGCUGUGGUGCCUCGUAUGGGAUAACAUCCAGCAUGCGCGACACCUCGGCACCGGCACCCAGUGAGCAUGCCUCUACAACUCGUAUUGGCAUGGGCACGCACUACCGAUCUCAAAUCAAGUAGGAACACCCGCUGAACUUAAGCAUAUCAAUAAGCGGAGGAA
RNAcentral lists this ribosomal RNA (665 nucleotides) under uncultured fungus. RNAcentral describes it as "eukaryotic LSU rRNA". The stretch from base 265 to 419 matches the Rfam family "5.8S ribosomal RNA". Lineage: Eukaryota; Fungi. The record is from RNAcentral.